This 477-nucleotide ribosomal RNA is filed under the name uncultured bacterium. Its description in RNAcentral is "bacterial SSU rRNA". It matches the Rfam family "Bacterial small subunit ribosomal RNA", at positions 29 to 524 of the family's 1533-position model. The record is from RNAcentral.
AACGAACGCUGGCGGCAGGCCUAACACAUGCAAGUCGAACGCUCCAGCAAUGGAGAGUGGCAGACGGGUGAGUAACACGUGGGAACCUUCCCUAUGGUUCGGAAUAGCUCAGGGAAACUUGGGGUAAUACCGGAUAAGCCCUUCGGGGGAAAGGAUUUAUCGCCAUUGGAUGGGCCCGCGUCGGAUUAGCUAGUUGGUGAGGUAACGGCUCACCAAGGCAACGAUCCGUAGCUGGUCUGAGAGGAUGAUCAGCCACACUGGGACUGAGACACGGCCCAGACUCCUACGGGAGGCAGCAGUGGGGAAGUAUUGGACAAUGGGCGCAAGCCUGAUCCAGCCAUGCCGCGUGAGUGACGAAGGUCUUCGGAUUGUAAAGCUCUUUCGCGAGGAAAGAAACGGUGCGCGCCAAUACCGCGCACUAAUGACGGUACCUCGAGAAGAAGCACCGGCUAACUACGUGCCAGCCGCCGCUGUAAU